AUUUUUACUCCAUUCUGCUCGCAUCGGGAAACGAUGAUCAUUGAAAUAAUAUAAGUUUAAUUGCUUUUCAAAUACAAAAGUAAGUCGUUAGGAAGUGAUUGAAAUAUGGAAACAGUAUAUUGGACUUGGUAUUGAACGAAAAUCUGUUGUAGAGAGACAAAUGACGAGAAAGAUGCCAUGGAGCCGCAAAAUGCUUCGUUCAUAACUACGAGGAACUGGCAUAGUAAAUAAAAUUGUCCAGAUGCGAAAUUGUACCCGUGUAAUCGACCCGGUCCGAACUCUUUCCAAUAAGAUUUCAGACUUCUUUGCAGAUCUAAACUACCAAGAUCGUGCAUAUACUUGUCGGAUUGUGGAUGAGUAUGCUUGUGUGGUACCGUCAAAGAUCAACCAGGAGCAGGAAGCAGGAAAAAUGAAACCGCGCUGGCCAAUUUUGCUACAGAACAAAACUGACGGGAUCAUGCUUCCUCCUACUAUUUGAUGGAGUCCCCUAAAAGAGCAAUCAAGCGGAGUGGGAUUAACGGAAGUGGUUGCGAAGCAAUGGUCACACGCGAGAAGUCGAACAAUACACGGCCUGAUCAACAUCUUAUGGGUGCCAUCAAAGAAAGCAAAACGUAUGUAACUAAAAAUUAAUCCAUCUUAAAAUCCUAAAAUCUUAAAAUCUUAAAAUCUUAAAAUCUUAAAAUCUUAAAAUCUUAAAAUCUUAAAAUCUUAAAAUCCUAAAAUCUUAAAAUCUUAAAAUCUUAAAAUCUUAAAAUCCUAAAAUCUUAAAAUCUUAAAA
This is a long non-coding RNA of Armigeres subalbatus, 778 nucleotides long. RefSeq lists it as uncharacterized. Lineage: Eukaryota; Metazoa; Arthropoda; Insecta; Diptera; Culicidae. The transcript is spliced from 4 exons. The record is from RefSeq and is a predicted model, not a curated record.